GGCUUCUUAGCUCAGUUGGUAGAGAGCACGACUGAAAAUCGUGAGGUCCCCAGUUCGAUCCUGGGAGUAGCCA
RNAcentral lists this transfer RNA (73 nucleotides) under Pseudarthrobacter sp. BIM B-2242. It matches the Rfam family "tRNA". From Rfam's summary of the family: Transfer RNA (tRNA) molecules are approximately 80 nucleotides in length. The record is from Rfam by way of RNAcentral. Lineage: Bacteria; Bacillati; Actinomycetota; Actinomycetes; Micrococcales; Micrococcaceae.